UACGUAGGGUCCGAGCGUUGUCCGGAAUUACUGGGCGUAAAGAGCUCGUAGGUGGUUUGUCGCGUUGUUCGUGAAAACUUACAGCUCAACUGUGGGCGUGCGGGCGAUACGGGCAGACUUGAGUACUGCAGGGGAGACUGGAAUUCCUGGUGUAGCGGUGGAAUGCGCAGAUAUCAGGAGGAACACCGGUGGCGAAGGCGGGUCUCUGGGCAGUAACUGACGCUGAGGAGCGAAAGCGUGGGGAGCGAACAGG
RNAcentral lists this ribosomal RNA (253 nucleotides) under uncultured bacterium. RNAcentral describes it as "partial 16S ribosomal RNA". It matches the Rfam family "Bacterial small subunit ribosomal RNA", at positions 524 to 776 of the family's 1533-position model. The record is from RNAcentral.